AGUGAACGCUGGCGGUAGGCCUAACACAUGCAAGUCGAACGGCAGCACAGUAAGAGCUUGCUCUUACGGGUGGCGAGUGGCGGACGGGUGAGGAAUACAUCGGAAUCUACUUUUUCGUGGGGGAUAACGUAGGGAAACUUACGCUAAUACCGCAUACGACCUACGGGUGAAAGCAGUGGAUCUUCGGACCUUGCGCGAUAGAAUGAGCCGAUGUCGGAUUAGCUAGUUGGCGGGGUAAAGGCCCACCAAGGCGACGAUCCGUAGCUGGUCUGAGAGGAUGAUCAGCCACACUGGAACUGAGACACGGUCCAGACUCCUACGGGAGGCAGCAGUGGGGAAUAUUGGACAAUGGGCGCAAGCCUGAUCCAGCCAUACCGCGUGAGUGAAGAAGGCCUUCGGGUUGUAAAGCCCUUUUGUUGGGAAAGAAAAGCAGCAGGUUAAUACCCCGCUGUUCUGACGGUACCCAAAGAAUAAGCACCGGCUAACUUCGUG
This 492-nucleotide ribosomal RNA is filed under the name uncultured bacterium. RNAcentral describes it as "partial 16S ribosomal RNA". It matches the Rfam family "Bacterial small subunit ribosomal RNA", at positions 29 to 507 of the family's 1533-position model. The record is from RNAcentral.